CUCAACGAUGGAUAUCUUGGUUCCCAUAACGAUGAAGAACGCAGCGAAGUGCGAUAAGCAAUGCGAAUUGCAGAACCGUGAGUCAUCAGAUCUUUGAACGCAACUGGCGCCGACCGGUCCUCCGGCCGGCAUGCUUGUUUCAG
RNAcentral lists this ribosomal RNA (143 nucleotides) under Arcuseries petzi. RNAcentral describes it as "5.8S ribosomal RNA". It matches the Rfam family "5.8S ribosomal RNA". Rfam says of the family: 5.8S ribosomal RNA (5.8S rRNA) is a component of the large subunit of the eukaryotic ribosome. It is transcribed by RNA polymerase I as part of the 45S precursor that also contains 18S and 28S rRNA. Lineage: Eukaryota; Ciliophora; Spirotrichea; Urostylida; Urostylidae. The record is from RNAcentral.